This 489-nucleotide ribosomal RNA is filed under the name uncultured bacterium. RNAcentral describes it as "partial 16S ribosomal RNA". It matches the Rfam family "Bacterial small subunit ribosomal RNA", at positions 30 to 507 of the family's 1533-position model. The record is from RNAcentral.
AUUGAACGCUGGCGGCAGGCCUAACACAUGCAAGUCGAACGGUAACAGGAAGAAGCUUGCUUCUUUGCUGACGAGUGGCGGACGGGUGAGUAAUGUCUGGGAAACUGCCUGAUGGAGGGGGAUAACUACUGGAAACGGUAGCUAAUACCGCAUAACGUCGCAAGACCAAAGAGGGGGACCUUCGGGCCUCUUGCCAUCGGAUGUGCCCAGAUGGGAUUAGCUAGUAGGUGGGGUAACGGCUCACCUAGGCGACGAUCCCUAGCUGGUCUGAGAGGAUGACCAGCCACACUGAACUGAGACACGGUCCAGACUCCUACGGGAGGCAGCAGUGGGGAAUAUUGCACAAUGGGCGCAAGCCUGAUGCAGCCAUGCCGCGUGUAUGAAGAAGGCCUUCGGGUUGUAAAGUACUUUCAGCGGGGAGGAAGGGAGUAAAGUUAAUACCUUUGCUCAUUGACGUUACCCGCAGAAGAAGCACCGGCUAACUCCGUG